AUUGAACGCUGGCGGCAAGCCUAACACAUGCAAGUCGAGCGGAAACGAGUUAUCUGAACCUUCGGGGAACGAUAACGGCGUCGAGCGGCGGACGGGUGAGUAAUGCCUAGGAAAUUGCCUUGAUGUGGGGGAUAACCAUUGGAAACGAUGGCUAAUACCGCAUAACGCCUACGGGCCAAAGAGGGGGACCUUCGGGCCUCUCGCGUCAAGAUAUGCCUAGGUGGGAUUAGCUAGUUGGUGAGGUAAUGGCUCACCAAGGCGACGAUCCCUAGCUGGUCUGAGAGGAUGAUCAGCCACACUGGAACUGAGACACGGUCCAGACUCCUACGGGAGGCAGCAGUGGGGAAUAUUGCACAAUGGGCGCAAGCCUGAUGCAGCCAUGCCGCGUGUAUGAAGAAGGCCUUCGGGUUGUAAAGUACUUUCAGCAGUGAGGAAGGGGGUGUCGUUAAUAGCGGCAUCUCUUGACGUUAGCUGCAGAAGAAGCACCGGCUAACUCCGUGCCAGCAGCCGCGGUAAUACGGAGGGUGCGAGCGUUAAUCGGAAUUACUGGGCGUAAAGCGCAUGCAGGUGGUUUGUUAAGUCAGAUGUGAAAGCCCGGGGCUCAACCUCGGAACUGCAUUUGAAACUGGCAAACUAGAGUACUGUAGAGGGGGGUAGAAUUUCAGGUGUAGCGGUGAAAUGCGUAGAGAUCUGAAGGAAUACCAGUGGCGAAAGCGGCCCCCUGGACAGAUACUGACACUCAGAUGCGAAAGCGUGGGGAGCAAACAGG
This 769-nucleotide ribosomal RNA is filed under the name uncultured bacterium. Its description in RNAcentral is "bacterial SSU rRNA". It matches the Rfam family "Bacterial small subunit ribosomal RNA", at positions 28 to 776 of the family's 1533-position model. The record is from RNAcentral.